AAGAUUAGAGACUUUCUGACUAGCCAAGGAGACUGCCUGAUACCAGGACAAACUACUCGAACGCUCAGCUCAGCUCGAAUAGGGCGAGUUCAGAGCAGGCAAGUCAUCCUUGGCUACCAAAUGAGACUCUCAUCU
Eucalyptus grandis is the source of this 135-nucleotide non-coding RNA. Lineage: Eukaryota; Viridiplantae; Streptophyta; Magnoliopsida; Myrtales; Myrtaceae. The record is from Rfam.